AUGGCGCUCCUCCAGUGCACCCGGCCUGUGUCUGCGGCGGCACCGAUGACGGCUGUCGCCACCUCCGUGCCAGGUGCCGGCUCCACGCCCCCAGCACCGCCGCCUCUCACCGCUGCUGCGCUCGCUGCGGCAGCCCUUGCCUCCCGCAAGGCCGCCCCAACCGCUGGUGGCCGUUUCUCCCAAGCUGGCGACCUCCCUGCCCUGCAGCAAUCCUCGUCUGAUGCUCGGCCCGAUUUGGUUCAGGAGCAAGCUGCGCUGGGCCGGCUCGUCCUAGUUGGUGGCGUUUCCAUGGAGGUGCCGCCAGGCAAGUCCGCUGCUCCGGCUCUGUCGGCCGCUUUUGUCUCGGCAUCGCGUGGUCUUGACUGCAAUGGUAUGAGCUCCGAUGUGGAUGUAGAUGUGGAGAUGGUGCUGCAGACGCCGCUGGCCUCGGCUAGUGCAGACUAG
This 444-nucleotide ribosomal RNA is filed under the name Triticum aestivum (bread wheat). RNAcentral's name for it is "partial small subunit ribosomal RNA". Lineage: Eukaryota; Viridiplantae; Streptophyta; Magnoliopsida; Poales; Poaceae. The record is from RNAcentral.